UACGGAGGGGGCUAGCGUUGUUCGGAAUUACUGGGCGUAAAGCGCACGUAGGCGGCUUUGUAAGUUAGAGGUGAAAGCCCAGGGCUCAACCCUGGAAUUGCCUUUAAGACUGCAUCGCUUGAACAUCGGAGAGGUAAGCGGAAUUCCGAGUGUAGAGGUGAAAUUCGUAGAUAUUCGGAAGAACACCAGUGGCGAAGGCGACUUACUGGACGAUUGUUGACGCUGAGGUGCGAAAGCGUGGGGAGCAAACAGG
This 253-nucleotide ribosomal RNA is filed under the name uncultured bacterium. RNAcentral describes it as "partial 16S ribosomal RNA". It matches the Rfam family "Bacterial small subunit ribosomal RNA", at positions 524 to 776 of the family's 1533-position model. The record is from RNAcentral.